This 504-nucleotide ribosomal RNA is filed under the name uncultured bacterium. Its description in RNAcentral is "partial 16S ribosomal RNA". It matches the Rfam family "Bacterial small subunit ribosomal RNA", at positions 30 to 523 of the family's 1533-position model. The record is from RNAcentral.
AUUGAACGCUGGCGGCAGGCCUAACACAUGCAAGUCGAGCGGUAGCACAGGGAGCUUGCUCCUGGGUGACGAGCGGCGGACGGGUGAGUAAUGUCUGGGGAUCUGCCCGAUGGAGGGGGAUAACUACUGGAAACGGUAGCUAAUACCGCAUAACGUCGCAAGACCAAAGAGGGGGACCUUCGGGCCUCUUGCCAUCAGAUGAACCCAGAUGGGAUUAGCUAGUAGGUGGGGUAAUGGCUCACCUAGGGGACGAUCCCUAGCUGGUCUGAGAGGAUGACCAGCCACACUGGAACUGAGACACGGUCCAGACUGCUAAGGGAGGCAGCAGUGGGGAAUAUUGCACAAUGGGCGCAAGCCUGAUGCAGCCAUGCCGAGUGUAUGAAGAAGGCCUUCGGGUUGUAAAGUACUUUCAGCGAGGAGGAAGGCAUUAAGGUUAAUAACCUUAGUGAUUGACGUUACUCGCAGAAGAAGCAUCGGCUAACUCCGUGCCAGCCGCCGCUGUAA